RNAcentral lists this ribosomal RNA (468 nucleotides) under uncultured bacterium. RNAcentral's name for it is "partial 16S ribosomal RNA". It matches the Rfam family "Bacterial small subunit ribosomal RNA", at positions 28 to 507 of the family's 1533-position model. The record is from RNAcentral.
GACGAACGCUGGCGGCGUGCUUAACACAUGCAAGUCGAACGGAAAGGCCCUGCUUUUGUGGGGUGCUCGAGUGGCGAACGGGUGAGUAACACGUGAGUAACCUGCCCUUGACUUUGUGAUAACUUCAGGAAACUGGGGCUCAUACCGGAUAUGAGCUCCUGCUGCAUGGUGGGGGUUGGAAAGUUUCGGCGGUUGGGGAUGGACUCGCGGCUUAUCAGCUUGUUGGUGGGGUAGUGGCUUACCAAGGCUUUGACGGGUAGCCGGCCUGAGAGGGUGACCGGCCACAUUGGGACUGAGAUACGGACCAGACUCCUACGGGAGGCAGAAGUGGGGAAUAUUGCACAAUGGGCGGAAGCCUGAUGCAGCAACGCCGCGUGCGGGAUGACGGCCUUCGGGUUGUAAACCGCUUUCGCCUGUGACGAAGCGUGAGUGACGGUAAUGGGUAAAGAAGCACCGGCUAACUACGUG